CUUGGACACAGCAGCCUCAUGGCAUGAGGGGGGGAUUUGCUGCUGUUCACAUUGCAGUGACAUGGAGAGGAGAUAAUAUCCAAACACAAAAAAACCCCAGGUAGUCCCCAGUUAAGCCUGGACAUUAUUCCAUUUGAUCUGCUAGUAACAAAGCAGGAAAGACCCUGGGGCCCAAGGACUACUGGAUAAUGCUACAUCUGUGCUACUUUAUCAGUCUUGCACAAGGACAAACGAGCAGCAAAAGGGAACCUCCCUUCUCUCCCGUGGAGUGGAGUCUACAAUCAAGCAGCCAAGGCAGAGGAACAAGCCCUUGUCAGUCUGUAUGCACAGCCUGGCUGGCAGAGUGCAUUUUCCUUAACAUGUCUAAUCCCACAAGUAUGUGGUGGCUUGCUCUGCAGAAACCUCAGCUUUUCAGGUCCAGCCCCCCUCAGGGGUAGAGGGGAAUUGAAUAAGGGCCCUCCCAGCAGGAACACACCCUGUCACUGUUGGGACUUCACCAUGCUGAGUACUAUCCAGAGCUCACAGCCAGACGUGCUCCACCACAAACAGCCUGAGAGGGAAAAAUAAAGCCCUGCCUAUUUGCUUUUUGCAACA
This is a non-coding RNA of Cyanistes caeruleus (blue tit), 594 nucleotides long. The record is from RefSeq and is a predicted model, not a curated record. Lineage: Eukaryota; Metazoa; Chordata; Aves; Passeriformes; Paridae.